GGGUAUUGGCAGUUGGUAUUUUGCCCCGGGAGGGUACCUACCAGCUGCCUGCAGUAGGAUGCUAUUUAUUUUUAACUGGACCAGCACCUCCAGCUACAGCAGUUCUCUCUGAUCCUGGUUUCCUCUGGUUCCCAGCCCUGUUCCCAGAGCAGGUCUCCCCAGUGCCUGCACAGUUUGCCCAGUCCUUACUUGUCUGCCUCUUCCCAGCCCUGAAUCAAUGCCAAGCCCUGACUGCGGUCCUCCGGCCACGGGUCGCCAAUCUCCCAAGGCUCCUUCCCGGCUUCUGCCAUCUCAGAUGUCUUUUGGCAAAGGUGAACAUCUAACGAUGUGCUCAUCUCAUGGACCAAAGGAAAUCCGGGCUUGAACUGACUGUCUGAAGAGUAACCCCGCUGUCACGGCCAGGAGGAUGCUGCCUUGCCUCGAGCUCAGCGAGGCACCAACAAGCCAGGCCAGUCAGAGGCUGGGACCAAAUCCCACCACAUCCACAUGGUGCUGGGGCCCCUCAGCCCCUCUGCCAUCCCAGAGGGGGUCUGCGAGACCCCUUGGAGCUGUCAGUGUGCCUUUGGAGCUUCGCAGGCAGAGCAGGGGCACCCGGGACUGAAGGAAAGUACAGGCUAAGGAAACCAGCCCCUUGCACUUGACACCAAAUAGAGAUCCCCUGCAUCAAAAUAAUGGAGGAAUUUUAUUCCCUGCCAAAACACUGCAUCCUUCCUUCUCCGCACGAGCUUCCUGCGUGCUGAUCUGUUGGCUCUGAACCACAGGGACCUGCCUUUGAAUCCAAUGUCUUGGAGGCUUGCUCUCUUAAGGAUGCCUGACCCUCUAAACCCCCCCAAGCUGGUGGGGCCCUCCCGAGAGCCGAGGCCGACCUACCCUUUCCUCAGCCCUCUUGAAGGGAAGAGCCCUCCCAAACCCCAGGGUGAUGCAGAGCCCCUCGCUCUCCCCAUCUCCGCUUCUUGCAUUCAUGCUGCUUCAAGCCAAGAUGCUGCCAGACACAAAUUGCAUCCCCCGACCCGUUGUUGGUACCAUGGCUCUGCAGGAGCCCAGCUGAGUUGUUCUGCGUGAUGGACAGUGCAGCAAAGUCCUUCACCAGCCCCACCAUCUCCAGCACAGCCCAGCGAUUGCCGGGAGCUUCGUUAUCCACCCUAAUUUGUAGCAGCCCAGGGGCACUGGAGGCACCGUGAGGACUGUGGCUUGCAGAAACUGAUGGAAAGAAGAGGAGGAGAAGCUGGGAGAGGACAUUUUUCAGCCAAAAGCUCACUCGUUACUAGAAGUCAGUGAUGUUCCCAGGGAGAAGUACAGCCCCGACCCGUGUCGUGUGCGCCUUUGCUCAGCUGCCCUGUCCUGCUCGGCGUUGGAGGAUGCUCCAGGAUGGUCCGUGCUGGGACACGAAGUGGGUGAGUCUCCUUAAACCUGCUGCCUGAGACCCCAGCAGGCGUGGGGAUGCUCGCCAUCGCUGCCCCGCGGUGUGCACAAGGAACUGGGUGCCCUCAACCCCAGGCCUCCCACUCCACUCUCUGCUGAGGCAUUGAGCUCACUGCCCAGCCCUGGCAGCGUUGGGCCCCCCUGGGAUGGGCUUUCCUGCAGGAUCCGGCUGAUGGCAGCUCCGCGGAUCAAGUGCCUACGGAGGGAAUCGCACGCUGUCGCCUCCGGCGUGGCUGCAAUGCCAUGGAGCCCACCCAAAACAUGUUGCCUUUUGCUCCCUCCCUGACAUGUAGCAGCCUUGCUGUGUUUCAGCAGGUUUCUGGUUUGUUGUUUGUGUGUCUGGGGGAGAGACGGGAGGGAAACUGGCCCGGGAACCACGAGCAUCCCUCUGUUCUCGGUGUCACCUCUCCGGGGUCCCCAGUGGGGAUGCUCGGCGGCGCUGCGGGUUUGCCGUCCGGGUGCCUCGGCGCAGUCGUGUUCUCUGUUGCAGAAGUGUUGUUGUCCCAGUAAAUCACAGCCUGCUUGAC
Long non-coding RNA from Chroicocephalus ridibundus (black-headed gull), 1949 nucleotides. RefSeq lists it as uncharacterized. NCBI's taxonomy places the organism in Eukaryota, Metazoa, Chordata, Aves, Charadriiformes, Laridae. The record is from RefSeq and is a predicted model, not a curated record. The transcript has 2 exons.